CCUACGGGUGGCAGCAGUGGGGAAUAUUGGACAAUGGGGGCAACCCUGAUCCAGCCAUGCCGCGUGUGUGAAGAAGGCCCUCGGGUUGUAAAGCACUUUCAGUGAGGAAGAACGCCUGGUGGUUAAUACCCAUCAGGAAAGACAUCACUCACAGAAGAAGCACCGGCUAACUCCGUGCCAGCAGCCGCGGUAAUACGGAGGGUGCGAGCGUUAAUCGGAAUUACUGGGCGUAAAGCGCGCGUAGGUGGCUUGAUAAGCCGGUUGUGAAAGCCCCGGGCUCAACCUGGGAACGGCAUCCGGAACUGUCAAGCUAGAGUGCAGGAGAGGAAGGUAGAAUUCCCGGUGUAGCGGUGAAAUGCGUAGAGAUCGGGAGGAAUACCAGUGCGAAGGCGGCCUUCUGGACUGACACUGACACUGAGGUGCGAAAGCGUGGGUAGCAAACAGGAUUAGAUACCCCUGUAGUC
Molecule: ribosomal RNA, 464 nt
Filed under: Vreelandella stevensii
Lineage: Bacteria; Pseudomonadati; Pseudomonadota; Gammaproteobacteria; Oceanospirillales; Halomonadaceae
Description: partial 16S ribosomal RNA
Rfam family: Bacterial small subunit ribosomal RNA
Source: RNAcentral